GCGAACGCUGGCGGCAGGCUUAACACAUGCAAGUCGAACGGGCGUAGCAAUACGUCAGUGGCAGACGGGUGAGUAACGCGUGGGAACGUACCUUUUGGUUCGGAACAACACAGGGAAACUUGUGCUAAUACCGGAUAAGCCCUUACGGGGAAAGAUUUAUCGCCGAAAGAUCGGCCCGCGUCUGAUUAGCUAGUUGGUGAGGUAAGAGCUCACCAAGGCGACGAUCAGUAGCUG
RNAcentral lists this ribosomal RNA (234 nucleotides) under Bradyrhizobiaceae bacterium ISO918_OTU1. Its description in RNAcentral is "partial 16S ribosomal RNA". It matches the Rfam family "Bacterial small subunit ribosomal RNA", at positions 29 to 289 of the family's 1533-position model. The record is from RNAcentral. Lineage: Bacteria; Pseudomonadati; Pseudomonadota; Alphaproteobacteria; Hyphomicrobiales; Nitrobacteraceae.